This 499-nucleotide ribosomal RNA is filed under the name Mantidactylus femoralis. RNAcentral describes it as "partial 16S ribosomal RNA". It matches the Rfam family "Bacterial large subunit ribosomal RNA", at positions 1926 to 2593 of the family's 2925-position model. The record is from RNAcentral. Lineage: Eukaryota; Metazoa; Chordata; Amphibia; Anura; Mantellidae.
AACGGCCACGGUACCCUAACCGUGCGAAGGUAGCAUAAUCACUUGUUCUUUAAAUGGGGACUCGUAUCAACGGCAUCACGAGGGUUCUACUGUCUCCUCUCUCUAAUCAGUGAAACUAAUCUCCCCGUGAAGAAGCGAGGAUAAUACUAUAAGACGAGAAGACCCCAUGGAGCUUUAAACCCAAUUAUAUUCCUAACCCCCACAACCAUUUAAUCUCUUAGGCCCCAUAUACUUGGUUUUAGGUUGGGGCGACCACGGAGUAAAACCAAACCUCCAUGAUGUACGGAACAACCUCCUUAUCCAAGAGCCACAGCUCUAAGAAUUAGCACACUAUCAAAAAAUGACCCAUUAUUGAUCAACGAACCAAGUUACCCUGGGGAUAACAGCGCAAUCCAUUUUAAGAGCCCCUAUCGACAAAUGGGUUUACGACCUCGAUGUUGGAUCAGGAUAUCCCAGUGGUGCAGCAACUACUAAAGGUUCGUUUGUUCAACGAUCAAAA